Molecule: long non-coding RNA, 5846 nt
Filed under: Aquilegia coerulea
Lineage: Eukaryota; Viridiplantae; Streptophyta; Magnoliopsida; Ranunculales; Ranunculaceae
Description: long non-coding RNA (ACOE_LNC000012)
Source: RNAcentral
AGGAGUUCAUGUAUUUUAUUGGUGCUUUCAAUAUUGGAGACUUCAUACCUUCGUUGGCUUGGAUUAAUAACUUCAAUGGAUUGAAUGCGAGGAUGGACAAGAACUUUGAGGAACUAGAGAGCUUUCUGGGAGGCGUGAUCGAGGAGCAUAUUCAGGAUAGGAAGACAAGGAAGUUUGGCAGUGAAGGUGUGGAGGACUUCGUGGAUGUUUUGCUUGGUAUGGAGAAGGAUGGUUCCAUUGGAGUUCCUUUUGCUAAAGAUAAUAUUAAAGCACUAAUCAUGGUAUGUUUCAACUUUUUUUUACUAUAGUUGUUUUGCUGAUUAUUCCACCUAACCAAUGAUUGAUAUCUAAUGAUUUUUUUCUUAACUGUUUUGUGUUUGUAGGAUAUGUUUCUUGCAGCGACAGACACUGCAGCCGCAACCAUGACUUGGGCAAUGACAGAGCUACUAAGGCACCCAGAAAUAUUGAAAGAAGUACAAAGGGAAGUAAGAGAAGUAGCCAAAGGAAAAACACACAUCACAGAAGACGAUGCAGCACAAAUGCACUACAUGAAAAAUGUGAUCAAGGAAACUCUAAGGGUACAUACUCCUGGUCCAUUACUUAUCCCACAUCAAUCCAGGGAAGAUGCUAAACUACAAGGUUAUGAUGUUCCUGCCAAAACUCGAGUUAUUGUUAAUGCUUGGGCUAUCGCAAGAGACCCAGCCAUAUGGGAAGAACCUGACGAAUUCCGACCAAAAAGGUUUGAGAAUUCAUCUCUUGAUUUCAAAGGAAAUGAUUUUGAGUAUCUUCCAUUUGGAGCAGGCAGGAGAAUUUGCCCUGGUAUUGCAUUUGCAAGUCCUACUAUGGAGCUUCCAAUGGCUAAUCUCUUGUACCAUUUUGAUUGGACUUCACCUAAUGGAGAGGUUCCAGAUGUGGAAGAAGGCCUUGGAAUCGUGGCAUACAAGAAAUCCCCCCUUCGUGCUAUUGCAACUCCGUAUCGUGUCUAGGAAUUAUUUUAUCAUCAUCACUCUGGAACACCUAAUGUGAAGUAAUAAAAUGUUAAGUUGCUACUGUUAAAAAAACACCGAGGUGCAUGUACCUUACUUUCAAGCGAUAACACUUUAGCAUUUUUAUUCAUCAAAAUAAAUAAAUGUUUAUGGUGUUUUCUCAAAGGUUGUUGCCUAUUUAGUGUUUGUGAGAACAGAUGUAAUACUCGUGUCUACAUUGCUCUGUAAUCUGUAUUAGUGGAUGCCCUGCUCUGGAGCAUGAGCUUCGAUGCUCGCCCAGAUGCCCACAAAUGUCAUGCGGUCUUGCCUAUUGCAUAAUUUUGCUGGCCAUCAAGGCUUUUCACACAAACACCUUUUCAAACCUUUGUUCAUCUUAGGAAGUAGGAACUCAGGCAUAAUAAAAUCCAAAAUUGUGAGGGGGUGGGCAGAUGGGGAGGCAAGGUAAUGGAAUGGCUGAUAGAGAACUAAACCAAGUGUACCAAGAGAAUAUGAAUAUAGUAAGCGGUAAAAAGCAACAUAUUGAAACAUAUCAGAAAGAAAUAAUGUAGCGUAAAGUUGUAAACAUACAGUAGUUAAUUAAGGAAGAGUCAGAAUCAAACAUACAUUUAAAUAGGACAAUUGGAGGCUGUGAGCUUUCAGCUUGACACUUAAAAGUUCAAAGAUCCAUCCACCAGAUGCACGUAAACAUUUAUCAAAUUUAAAGAAGGGGUGGACUCAUGACGAGCAGCAGUUGUCUUUUCUGCAACCAUCUGGCAUUUCAUUUGCAUGGCCACAGGUCUUCCGUUCAUUGUUGUCAUAGGACAUUAAAAUGUGAAGUUGCCUUCAUACCGAGAUCUUCAUAACUAGCAUGUUUGGGAUCAAAGGCUGAACUGGACACUGAGAUUUUUGAUGAGGCACUUUUCAGCUGAUGGCACUGGUUCGCACCCCCUUUUCGCUGAAAAAUUACCCCCCGUGAAUACAGUAAAACCAAAAUUAUGCCAAAGUGACAGAACACCAAAAAUAUCAAUGCUAUAAUAAAUAAAUAUUACCGUGGCCUUGGCUGUUCUCCUUGCUUGCCUACUGGAUGCCUGUUUAGUCUGAGAUCUCUGAUCCUGUGCUUUUGGUGUUCUCAUUGCACACAUACAAUGAUACCGGCGAGCCUGUGCUUUUGGUGUUGACUGAUUGUCGACAAAUAUAUCCCAGUCUUCUUGUCGAACACCUUCUGGACAAUUAAGUUUUCUUUCCUCAUCUGUUUUAUAUUUAUCAUAAUGUUCACACAGAAGCUGGCUCUUGAAAUUUUUGAAAUGUCUUCACAUUUUACCAAGUAUUUGUUUCUUGUAAGUCGCAGAAACAGAAAAUUUUGCCUAUAGUAAAAUCAUUAGAUAAAUUAAAAUCAUGGUAGGAAAUAUAUUGGAAUGAAAAAGAUGAUAUAAACUUACUGUAACAAGCUUCCACAUCAUUUCCUUGGUCUGAGAUGACACAUCCUUCCACAGGUCAUACGAAAUUGGACAAUGUUUCAGCGUCAGUGAACUAAGGUAGCUCUUCAGAUAGCUCUUCCAGUAAUUUAAAUUUUCUCCAAUAAGUACACCCUUAUCAGUGAAGUGAAGCACUUUCUUUGGCUCAGACGAACCUAAUAUAAUCAAAAUGCCAUUAACAAAUCUGAAGUCUUUCCAAGAACAGGGGAAACGAAAAAGGUCACAAGGCAAAUAUGAGACCUUGGUCAUAUUCAGAACUUAAAAUAAAAGGUGAAAAAGUGGAGAGUUCAUUGUUUCACAUUUUCAAAUGGAUACAAGGCAAUGAGUCACAUAAAGAGAACAAUUUAUAAACCUCGAUCUGCUGAGCGGUACUUUAAAUAGCACUAAUGGUUAAAACUUAAAAACUAAACCCCCCAAAUUUAUGUUAUCGCCAGAAAAAUACAUUGUUCCCAAUCUGCUACUUCUAAAUUCUAAUAUAAGAUGCUAACAUUUUUUUUUAAAAGGGAAGAAAAACCCAUUAUGAAUUACAGAUGAAUUAGGAUUUUUAAUUCUGUAGGUUUAUUUACGGGAUUUGGAUAAUACACACAAGUUUCACUUUUUUUACCUGAAUCUGACCAAAGUAAGUUAAUUAUCUUUCGAAAAAUACAUUACUUAGUACAUUAUUAUGCGCUUUGAGGCAUUUGAACAUUUGAGGGAUUGAGAUUGAAUACUUACGAAAAGUGACGUCUAACAUUUUCUAAUCAAAUUGAAACUCGUAAUGAUUUACGAGGUAAUUAAACAAGUUCUAAACUUAGACCCGAAUCAAAAUGUGACUGAAACUAUUGUAAUAUAGGAUCGAUGUUGAUCUAUUAAACAAAUUAGACUAAAAAACUUCACAACAACUAAAGUGCAAAUCAAUUAAACACCAAAAUCAAAAUAAGGGAUACCUUCUUGGCUGCUUUCAAAAUCCAAAACAAGCCCUUUUUCUUGUUCAUCAUCAGUAGAGCUGUAAAUAUCAAUAACUUGACCUCUAUUAUCUUCACAAUCUACUACUUUCUCACUCUUGUUAUUGUCUUUCUUUACCAUCACCAUCAUCUUUCCUAUUUGUCGCAAAGUCUUAAUUUUUUUCAGGUUUCUUUCUCUUCUUUUUGUUCUUUUUCUUAUUAUCAAAAGCAAGUAACUCCAUAGCUAAUUGUUCUGCAAAAGACAGUUUUUUCUCUGAAAACCCACCAUCGUUGUCUUCUUCUUCAAACAUUUUUUGUUCUGCAUUUACAAAAAAUCAAAAAUCUCAAACAUCAACAACAAUAUUUCCCGCCUAAAAGAAAACAAAUUUCACAUAUUUGUAGAAAAUUUUUCCCUUUUUUUAAGCUUAAAGAAUGAGGAAAACAGUCAAACAGAGAACUCACUUUACUUACCUAUGUUUGCUUGCUUGGUUCACAAGUCUCAACUCCACAUAAACCCUAAACCCCAGAAAUUAUUUUCUUUGACUUCAAAUGAAGAUUGAAGAGAAAUGAGCAUGAGUGAGUGAGCAUAUGAGGGGGGUAUGGCGGUGAUCAAGUAUUGUUUUUACUUUGGUAAUAAUACAGUAGUACAAAAAAAGUUACUGUAAUUCAAUGGGAACUUCUUUGUGUAGUUUCUGUCAUGUAGCUAAGCUUGGAGGCCCAUAAAGAAAAAAAAAAGCCCAUAUUAUUGUUUCAAUGAAUGAAUGAAGAAGCCACCCUAACCAUUCUCAUAUCUACAGCCACAGGCAGCAAUUUCUUCCUAAGUCCUAACACAAGCAGUAUUACUACUGCAUUGCUAGUGUUGUUGAUGGAGGCGGGGGUGACUUUGUUAAUAACAUGUAUUUUCUGUGUUUGGUCUCCUGUUAAUAACAUUGAUAAUAGUGUGUAUAUCAAUUGUAUUUUCUGUGUUUGGUCUCCUGUUAAGUAUUGUAAUGAGCUACAACCUGCUAAGAGCCACAAUCCUGCUAAUAACAUGAAGGCCGCCGCAGGGUUGGAGACCUGCAUGGGCCACAAUCUGUGAAUUUAGUCACACAAUCACAUGUGUUUUCCUUGACAAAAUAUGUAGAAUUUUAACAAAAAAAAAAAAAAAAAAAACUGACGAAUGUCAGCAAAUUAUAUAGCCCUUUAUCGUAAAAACACACACGGUAAGUACGCAAUUUAUGACCCUUCUUUCCAAGAUGAAAGUUAAUCUGGAGGAAAUGAGGAACUGAUCUUUCACCAUGAUCAACAUAUCAAUACCUCUGCAGUCUUAAAAGUUACUGACUAAUAUAAUACACAUGUUUGCGCGCGCAGCCUAUGAUGAAAUGAAUAGUUUAUUGAUUUGUUUUUAGUCAAUAAGGUAUCACUGACUGGUCCACUGCGUCUGCUAAUCUGAAUAGCAAUAUAUAAUUACGUAUAGGACCAUAUGAAAUGUAUCAAGAGAGCAAACUAUAUAUAAAAGGCCACACAUAUGGCACUUCAGUAUACAUAAAGUCAUAAACACAAAAUACUCUGCAUUCUGAAAUCAAAUAGCAGGGGAAGAACAAAAUGUUCCAAUUAUGGUCAGAAAUGCAAUCACUUCAUCCCAUUUCCCUCUCAGUUCUUUCCAUCUUGUUUGUUCUGUUUCACUUCAAGCUAACUAAAUCUCGAUCUGGCAAGCUGAACUUACCACCUUCUCCAUGGAAACUUCCAGUUAUUGAAAACCUUCAUCAACUAGGAACUCUCCCACAUCGUUCACUUCAAUCUCUUGCUCGCAAACAUGGUCCCCUCAUGCUUCUUCAUUUCGGUCAGUCGCCUACAUUGAUUGUGUCUUCAGUAGAAGGAGCUAAAGAGAUCUUGAAAACUCAAGAUCUCUUCUCUGACAGGCCUAGAAUGAAUUUCCAAGAGAUACUCGUGUAUGCAAACUAUCACUUAGCCUUCUCCCCUUAUGGUGAAUAUUGGAGUCAAUUGCGAAAAGUUUGUGUACUACAACUUCUUAGUCAACAUAGAGUGAAUUCUUUCAAAUCAGUUAGACAGGAGGAAACUGAUUGCAUGCUAACGAGAUUCGUCAAUCUAUUUCAUCAGGUUCACCUAUUGUGAAUUUAAGUGAAUUGAUAUUUUCAUUCACAAAUGAUGUAACCUGUAGGGUUACACUAGGUAGGAAGUUUGGUAGAGAUGAAGGUGGUAAGAAGUUUUGUCAAAAUCAUUAAGGAGUUCAUGUAUUUUAUUGGUGCUUUUAACAUCGGAGACUUCAUACCUUCGUUGGCUUGGAUUAAUAACUUCAAUGGAUUGAAUGCGAGGAUGGACAAGAACUUUGAGGAAUUAGAGAGCUUUCUGGGAGGAGUGAUUGAGGAGCAUAUUCAGGAUAGGAAGACAAGGAAGUUUGGCAGUGAAGGUGUAAAGGACUUUGUGGAUGUUUUGCUUGGUAUGGAGAAAGAUGGUUCCAUUGGAGUUCCCUUUGCUAAAGA